This 798-nucleotide ribosomal RNA is filed under the name uncultured archaeon ST1-13. Its description in RNAcentral is "bacterial SSU rRNA". It matches the Rfam family "Archaeal small subunit ribosomal RNA", at positions 55 to 851 of the family's 1478-position model. The record is from RNAcentral.
GUGUGAUGGAUAUCUGCAGAAUUCGGCUUACGGCUCAGUAACACGUGGAUAACCUGCCCUUGGGUCCGGCAUAACUCCGGGAAACUGGAGAUAAUUCCGGAUAACGCACAUAUGCUGGAAUGCUUUAUGCGUAAAAUGGAUUCGUCUGCCCAAGGAUGGGUCUGCGGCCUAUCAGGUAGUAGUGGGUGUAAUGUACCUACUAGCCUACGACGGGUACGGGUUGUGAGAGCAAGAGCCCGGAGAUGGAUUCUGAGACAUGAAUCCAGGCCCUACGGGGCGCAGCAGGCGCGAAAACUUUACAAUGCGGGAAACCGUGAUAAGGGGACACCGAGUGCCAGCAUCAUAUGCUGGCUGUCCAGGUGUGUAAAAUACACCUGUUAGCAAGGGCCGGGCAAGACCGGUGCCAGCCGCCGCGGUAACACCGGCGGCCCGAGUGGUGAUCGUGAUUAUUGGGUCUAAAGGGUCCGUAGCCGGUUUGGUCAGUCCUCCGGGAAAUCUGAUAGCUCAACUAUUAGGCUUUCGGGGGAUACUGCCAGACUUGGAACCGGGAGAGGUAAGAGGUACUACAGGGGUAGGAGUGAAAUCUUGUAAUCCCUGUGGGACCACCUGUGGCGAAGGCGUCUUACCAGAACGGGUUCGACGGUGAGGGACGAAAGCUGGGGGCACGAACCGGAUUAGAUACCCGGGUAGUCCCAGCCGUAAACGAUGCUCGCUAGGUGUCAGACAUGGCGCGACCGUGUCUGGUGCCGCAGGGAAGCCGUGAAGCGAGCCACAAUGGGAAGUACGGCCGAAAGGCUG